AUGGCGACAAUCAACAACUCUCUGACGAUGAUCAAGCACAACCAUGGGUGGAUCACCGAGCAUGAAGGAAAAGAAAAGCACUUUCCGGAAUUGGAUCACCGCUCUCUUGUGCACCUCCUCUUCGAGGGUGCUCCUCAACGGCAUCCCCAAAAAUCCUAUCACAAACGGUCAAGACCUUCGUCAAGGGGACCCCUCUCCCCCCUGCUUUUUCUCAUCACCAUCGACCCUCUUCAGAAAAUCCUUGGUAUGGCAACUAGGAAGGGGCUGCUGCACAAGAUUCGUGGUCGUGGUAUCAUCAUCAGAACUUCCCUCUACACCGACGAUGCGGCUAUGUUCGUCGCCCCCAUCAAGAAAGACACAGAUAAUCUCUCCGUCUUGCUUAAUGCAUUUGGGGACAUCACGAGCCUCCACAUGAACUUUCAGAAAAUCUCAGUGGUUCCAAUUAAGUGUGGCCACAUCCCCCUUGAUGAUAUUCUCCAAAGCUUGUCAGCUGCAGGCGCUUCAUUUCCAAUGAAAUAUUUGGGUCUACCCCUCUUGGAAUCCAUUGAGGAUCUCGUGUUCAAGUACGGAUACUCCAUGAGGCUCUGGGGCAUUAUCAAGGAAUGGCUUCAACUUGAAAGCAUCAACACUACCAACUGGCACUCGGCGCGUUCCAUCAAAGAUUGGUGGACAAUUCUUUGCAACUCUACCAUUCCAAACCAGAAGGCGAUGGCUACUCUCACACUUCUCACCUCUUGGACCAUCUGGAAGGAAUGGAACACCCGUAUCUUCCAACUCAAGAGCGCACACUAG
RNAcentral lists this ribosomal RNA (792 nucleotides) under Triticum aestivum (bread wheat). RNAcentral's name for it is "partial small subunit ribosomal RNA". The record is from RNAcentral. Lineage: Eukaryota; Viridiplantae; Streptophyta; Magnoliopsida; Poales; Poaceae.